UAGGGAAUCUUCCGCAAUGGGCGAAAGCCUGACGGAGCAACGCCGCGUGAGUGAUGAAGGUCUUCGGAUCGUAAAACUCUGUUAUUAGGGAAGAACAAAUGUGUAAGUAACUAUGCACGUCUUGACGGUACCUAAUCAGAAAGCCACGGCUAACUACGUGCCAGCUGCCGCGGUAAUACGUAGGUGGCAAGCGUUAUCCGGAAUUAUUGGGCGUAAAGCGCGCGUAGGCGGUUUUUUAAGUCUGAUGUGAAAGCCCACGGCUCAACCGUGGAGGGUCAUUGGAAACUGGAAAACUUGAGUGCAGAAGAGGAAAGUGGAAUUCCAUGUGUAGCGGUGAAAUGCGCAGAGAUAUGGAGGAACACCAGUGGCGAAGGCGACUUUCUGGUCUGUAACUGACGCUGAUGUGCGAAAGCGUGGGGAUCAAACAGG
Molecule: ribosomal RNA, 429 nt
Filed under: Actinomycetes bacterium
Lineage: Bacteria; Bacillati; Actinomycetota; Actinomycetes
Description: Actinobacteria bacterium partial 16S ribosomal RNA
Rfam family: Bacterial small subunit ribosomal RNA
Source: RNAcentral